Molecule: ribosomal RNA, 494 nt
Filed under: uncultured bacterium
Lineage: Bacteria
Description: partial 16S ribosomal RNA
Rfam family: Bacterial small subunit ribosomal RNA
Source: RNAcentral
GACGAACGCUGGCGGCGUGCUUAACACAUGCACGUCGAACGGAAAGGCCUGUCCUUCCUUGUGUUGGACGGGUACUCGAGUGGCGAACGGGUGAGUAACACGUGAGUGAUCUGCCCCCAACUUGGGUAUAAGCCUGGGAAACUGGGUCUAAUUCCCGAUAGGACUGCAGGGUGGUGCCUGUGGUGGAAAACGAUUUUCUAGUGGUUGGGGAUGAGCUCGCGGCCUAUCAGCUUGUUGGUGGGGUAAUGGCCUACCAAGGCGGCGACGGGUAGCCGGCCUGAGAGGGUGGACGGCCACAUUGGGACUGAGAUACGGCCCAGACUCCUACGGGAGGCAGCAGUGGGGAAUAUUGCACAAUGGGCGGAAGCCUGAUGCAGCGACGCCGCGUGGGGGAUGACGGCCUUCGGGUUGUAAACUCCUUUCGACCGCGAGGAAGCCGCCUGGUUGGAAGGGUGGUGACGGUAGUGGUAGAAGAAGCACCGGCUAACUACGUG